GAGUUUGAUCCUGCUCAGGGACGACGCUGNNUGGCGGGCCUAACACAUGCAAGUCGAACGAGCUUUUCCGGUGCUGCACUGGGAAAAUCGAGUGGCGAACGGGUGAGUAAUACAUGAGAAACCUGCCUUGGAGACGGGGACAACCUCGGGAAACUGAGGCUAAUACCCGAUAUCCCUGCCGAGUCGCAUGACUUGGCAAGAAAAUACUCAGGUGCUCCAAGAGGGUCUCAUGCCCUAUCAGCUUGUUGGUGAGGUAAAAGCUCACCAAGGCUUAGACGGGUAGCUGGUCUGAGAGGAUGAUCAGCCACACUGGGACUGAGACACGGCCCAGACUCCUACGGGAGGCAGCAGUGGGGAAUCUUGCGCAAUGGGCGAAAGCCUGACGCGGCCACGCCACGUGUGGGACGACGGCCCUCGGGUUGUAAACCACUUUCAGCAGGGACGAAAAUGACGGUACCUGCAGAAGAAGCCCCGGCCAACUACGUGCCAGCAGCCGCGGUAACACGUAGGGGGCGAGCGUUGUCCGGAAUUACUGGGCGUAAAGGGCUCGUAGGCGGUUUGGUAAGUCAGAUGUGAAAACUCCAGGCUCAACUUGGAGACGCCAUCUGAUACUGCCAUGACUAGAGUUUGGUAGAGGAGUGCAGAAUUCCCGGUGUAGCGGUGAAAUGCGCAGAUAUCGGGAGGAAUACCAGUCAGCGAAGGCGGCACUCUGGGCCACAACUGACGCUGAGGAGCGAAAGCGUGGGGAGCGAACAGGAUUAGAUACCCUGGUAG
Molecule: ribosomal RNA, 774 nt
Filed under: uncultured bacterium
Lineage: Bacteria
Description: bacterial SSU rRNA
Rfam family: Bacterial small subunit ribosomal RNA
Source: RNAcentral